This 86-nucleotide transfer RNA is filed under the name bacterium. RNAcentral describes it as "tRNA-Tyr". It matches the Rfam family "tRNA". From Rfam's summary of the family: Transfer RNA (tRNA) molecules are approximately 80 nucleotides in length. Their secondary structure includes four short double-helical elements and three loops (D, anti-codon, and T loops). Further hydrogen bonds mediate the characteristic L-shaped molecular structure. tRNAs have two regions of fundamental functional importance: the anti-codon, which is responsible for specific mRNA codon recognition, and the 3' end, to which the tRNAs corresponding amino acid is attached (by aminoacyl-tRNA synthetases). tRNAs cope with the degeneracy of the genetic code in two manners: having more than one tRNA (with a specific anti-codon) for a particular amino acid; and 'wobble' base-pairing, i.e. permitting non-standard base-pairing at the 3rd anti-codon position. The record is from RNAcentral.
GGACAAGUUUCCGAGUGGCUAAAGGACACAGACUGUAAAUCUGUUGGCUUAUGCCUUCGCAGGUUAGAAUCCUGCCUUGUCCACCA